This 81-nucleotide small nucleolar RNA is filed under the name Pachysolen tannophilus NRRL Y-2460. RNAcentral's name for it is "Small nucleolar RNA snR56". It matches the Rfam family "Small nucleolar RNA snR56". The record is from Rfam by way of RNAcentral. Lineage: Eukaryota; Fungi; Ascomycota; Pichiomycetes; Alaninales; Pachysolenaceae.
AUAUAUGAUGAGAGAAAUAUAACACAGACCUGUACUGAUUCUUUUGAAUGUGCGGAUAAACUAUAUUGCCUAACGCUGAUA